Molecule: long non-coding RNA, 1363 nt
Filed under: Equus caballus (horse)
Lineage: Eukaryota; Metazoa; Chordata; Mammalia; Perissodactyla; Equidae
Description: lncRNA (ENSECAG00000055867.1)
Source: RNAcentral
GGAAAAGGAAAAAUAAAAUCUUAAAAAAAAAAAAUCACUUGGCACACCAAGAGCUCAGAAGAUCUCAAAUGGAAUGAAAAAAGACAAUCGAUAGAUGCAAGCAGCGAGAUGACAGGGAUGUUAGAAUUAUCUGACAAAGAUUUUUAAAGCAGCCAUUGUAAAAAUGCUUCAGUGAGCAAUUAUCAACACAUUUUGAAACCAAAAAAAAGGAGUCAGCCAAAAGACUCAGGAGAAAAAUUCUAUUUCACCAAGCAUUUUGAAAAAUCAUUGUCAAUUUCUGCAGCAAUGAAAAUAAACUCAAAGUUGUACUUUGACGUGAAAAUCUCACCGUCGGUAACAGACAAUUUGAGAGUGAAGAGGAGUGGUUGGUGUCCAGUCUUGGCUCCCGGAAAGCCAGGGUGACCAGGAUUUGGAUCAGGCCUGGCAUUCAGUCUGGGUGAGCACUUGACAGCAGGCGCAGAGCUGUGACACUGCAUGUUGCACAGUAGCAUUGGUGUUCCAGUCGAUUCCCUCCUGGACAGAGGAGCAAGAAGAAUAACAACUGAGAUUAGCAUCGAGUGACCAACACUGUAUUUGCAUCUGAAAGUGCCCACCACAAACAGCUGAGGCAGCCUUUGGGCAGGCGCAGAGGGAGCUUGAAUAAAUCCUCUCCUGCUUUCUGUCCUGUCCCAGGACUUGGAGUCAAGCCUCACACAGCUCUAGGCUCCACGAGAGAGCCCUCUGGAUUUAGUACUAACAUCCCAUCUCACAGGAAAUCAUCCCUAUCUCCAUUUAAACAACCUACUCACUGACAGAUUGCCGUAUCGACAUGUUUAAUUCCUCAACUUCAGUCCAUUCGCGUUCUUUUUCUCUUCCUUCCUGCUGUGUAUGGCUCCACCUCAUUCACCAGACAAGGGCUGUGGCCUGACAUUCCUUUGUUUCAUCAUUUGAAAAUGUCGGGGGGAACAGUCCUUGAAGCUGGCCAGAUUAAACCUCUCUAAUCCUGGGAAGCCGGUUAAUUUUUUCCUUCCCCGAGGAUGCGAGGGCAGUACCUUACUUGGUCAAUUGCUCUCAUACACAGCUCUGCCUUCUGUUGGGCAAAGCAGCAGGGACAAAGAAAUGGAAUUCCACUUCCUCCUCAGGGAAAGAGGAAAGCUUGAAAUUCUGAGUUUUCCCAGGCUGCCUCUGGGAUGCCAAGGAGGACUGGCUUGCAUAAUCUCACAAAAAUGUGACAUGCAACCUACGCCUCCAUAAGCUCUAAUAAUAUAGCGUCAAGGGAGUAGAGAAACCAAGAAACAUAUGCCUGAUUUCCUGACCUGAGCACAAUUAAAGGCCUCGACUGCGAAACCUAAGUGCCUCCAGACCAAGGAAAUGCAGACCCAGG